CACUAGCUGGCUUCAGUACUACCAACUAAACAAUAAAUUUGCUCAUGAUAAGAAAAUUGGCUUCUUGAAGGAAGAGUCUAAAUUCCUAUCAGAAAUUCUACAAAACACAAAGAAAAACCUUUCUAAAAUGUAUAAUUUGUUACUUGAGUGGGAAUUAAAAGAUGAACAAACAAAAGAAUUUAUGAUAAAAUGGGGACAAGAUUUGGGCUAUGCAAUUUGGUUUGAGAGGUGGGAAAAGUUAUGGGAAAAUGAUACAAAUGUUUCUGCAUGUGCUAUUAUUAAAGAAAUAUCAUGAAGAUGUGUUAUAGGUGGUACAUAACCCCAGUUAAAUUGGCAAAAAAUUAUAAAUUACCUUCAAAUCUAUGCUGGAGAUGUAAA
Non-coding RNA from Podarcis lilfordi (Lilford's wall lizard), 378 nucleotides. NCBI's taxonomy places the organism in Eukaryota, Metazoa, Chordata, Lepidosauria, Squamata, Lacertidae. The record is from the annotation of a GenBank genome assembly.